Molecule: long non-coding RNA, 1659 nt
Filed under: Macaca mulatta (Rhesus monkey)
Lineage: Eukaryota; Metazoa; Chordata; Mammalia; Primates; Cercopithecidae
Description: lncRNA (ENSMMUG00000053541.1)
Source: RNAcentral
UUAAGAAAGUUUAUUUUGGCCAAAGUUAAGGAUGUGUGUCCGUGAUGCAGCCUCAGGAGGUCCUGAAGACAUGUGCCCAAGGUGGUCGGGCACAGCUUGGUUUUAUACAUUUUAGGGAGAUAUGAGACGUCGAUCAAUAUAUGUAAGGUAUACAUUGGUUCCGUCUAGAAAGGUGGGACAACUCGAAGCAGGGAGGGGACUUCCGGGUCAUAGGUCGAUAAGAGACAAACGGUUGCAUUCUUUUGAGUUUCUGAUUGGCCUUUCCAAAGGAGGCAGUCAGAGAUGCAUCUAUCUCAGUGACCAGAGGGGUGGCUUUGAGUUCUGCCAGUUGUCCACAAGGAAUUUCCUUGUGAGGGAGGUAUGUAGCUUUUUAAUCUUAGUAGCUAUCUUUUUUAGGAAUAGAAUGGGAGGCAGGUUUGCCUGAUGCAGUUCCCAGCUUGACUUUCCCCUUUGGCUUAGUGAUUUUGGGGUCCCGAGAUUUAUUUUCCUUUCACACAAGUAAACCCAAAAGUUGAGUUUUUACAAGAUCAACCAAAAUAUUAAGAACCUGAGAAAAGUCUAAACAUACACUUUCGUUUCUCUGAAUCCUUAAUUCUGCUAUAGUCAAAACUGUGAUGUGUCCCUUUAACUAGAAAAUGAAAGCCAAAUCCAUGGGAUUUAUGCAAGCUGGAUUUCUGAAAAGUUUAUUGCUGUCUGGGAAUGGGACAACAAGCUAGGAAAUUAACAUAUCUCUCCUCAUUCUGUGUUGAGUGGAUGUUAAGGCAAGUUUACCAAUAUGCGCCAAGCUCUGCCCAGGGCGUUAGGGUAUUAGGGCCACAGAGCUAAGACCCCAAAGAGCCCAGGAUCCAGUGGAAGGGCUCAGAGGCGGUGGACAGCGCCUUGCACCACGCACUAAACAUGGGUCUGCUGGGGCCUCAGGACGGAGCAGCCAGGCUCCACCUUGGGGUGUGGGGAGGCCGGUUUGGUGAAAAGACACCCAGACCCUUCUGACUCUCAUCCAAGGAAGAAGGAAAACUCUUUAAAAAGGCAGUGAGGGCCGGGCGCACGGCUCAUGCCUGUAAUCCCUGCACUUUGGGAGGCCCGAAGUGGAAGGAUCACUUGAGGCCAGGAGUUCAAGGCUGCAGUGAGCCAUGAUCCCACCAGUGGACUCCAGCCUGGGUGACAGAGAGAGACCCUGCCUCAAAAAAAACAAAAACAAACAAACAAAACAAAACAAAACAAAAAAAAACACCUUUUCAAAUAAUAAUAAGUAAAUAAAAUGGCUGAGGGGGCUCAGGUCCCCCUGCGUGAGAGGAAGGGGCUUUAAGCGUCCAGCGGGGGUCGCUGCAUUAUCACGAAGGAUCCUCCUCUUCUAGUGUGGAAGGCCCUUUUAAAUUUUCAUUUAUAUUUUAUUUAUUUUGCAACGGUGUUUCACUCUGAUGCGCAGGCUGGAGAGCAGUGACUCCGUCUCAAAAAAAAAAAAAAAAAAAGUAAACUCGCGUGCCCGAGAAGCCCUCUAGGAGGGAAACACCCAGAAGAGGUCACCCUCCAAACACACAGUAGAAAAAUGGUGACGCACGGAGGUAAGGGGAAGGCGGGAACGAGCGAGAGCGUGCGGGCUUGUGCCCGCGCGUGCCUGCGUGCGCGUCCGUGCGGCCGCGACGGUGCCCCCGGCGCCUC